GAUGAACGCUGGCGGCGCGCUUAAGACAUGCAAGUCGAACGAAGAUUUACGAUUAGUUUACUGAUUGUAAAUUCUUAGUGGCGGACGGGUGAGUAACACGUGAGCAACCUGCCUUCGAGAGGGGGACAACAGAGGGAAACUUCUGCUAAUACCGCAUAUGACCACAGUACCGCAUGGUACAGGGGGUGAAAGGAGAAAUCCGCUCGAAGAUGGGCUCGCGGCUGAUUAGCUAGUUGGUGAGGUAACGGCCCACCAAGGCGACGAUCAGUAGCCGAACUGAGAGGUUGAUCGGCCACAUUGGGACUGAGACACGGCCCAGACUCCUACGGGAGGCAGCAGUCGGGAAUAUUGCACAAUGGGGGAAACCCUGAUGCAGCGACGCCGCGUAAGGAAGAAGGUCUUCGGAUUGUAAACUUUGUCGACAGGGACGAAGGACGUGACGGUACCUGCAGAAAAGCAACGGCUAACUACGUG
Molecule: ribosomal RNA, 474 nt
Filed under: uncultured bacterium
Lineage: Bacteria
Description: bacterial SSU rRNA
Rfam family: Bacterial small subunit ribosomal RNA
Source: RNAcentral